CGGAAAGCAGUUCCCGAAUACAUCAAAUCUUAAAAGAGUCAUAUAAUGACUUCCCUGUCCAAAUUUGGACAUUAGUUACUGUCCCCAAUGGAAUCCUACAUUGGACAUUUGGACUGAACAUAUGUAAAUUAAGGUAACCUUUCUUUCUAACUGUAUAUACAUUUAUAUGUACUUGUCUCCCAGUUAUUGCAUUUUCUCUAUCUAUCAAUCACGACCUUUUGGACUUCUAUUGCCACUUAAGGAUUCCAGCUUCUCUAGAUUAGGAGACUUUUUCUGAGUAGAACUAACCGGUGGCUUGGCCAGUUUUUUGUCAUUGUCACCCUUAAAGUAGAUUUCUAGAUCAGUUGAGCUUCUUCUCCUUGAAGCAAUACCCCAACCCAUAAAAUCUGAUAGUGUUGGUGUGUCUGAACUGCUCACCCUCAAUGCAUCUUCAUCAGAUGAACUAGGGGAUGUCUCGGAUUUUUGUGGUGAUGAUGUUUGAGCAAGGGAAUCAGCAUGAAGGACAUCCUCGAUUCUUGACAUGACAUUGAAGGCCAAGCUCUCUAGAAUCCUUGAAUAGCUCUCUAGAAUAGCGUGUCCUACAUCCUGGUGAAAAAUUGAAGAUCAAGUAAGUUUUUUAUCAUCAACCUUUGAAUAACAUUUAAUGCUUUGCUUGUUGUGUAUGUACCCUAUUAUCUUGUAACUUAGAUAUAUCGAGUGAAGAUUGUGGAAUUCCGGGAUAACGUUGCUUUAACAAGAUUAAAAUAGUUUCCGCCCUUUCUUCGAAGAGUUCCCUUUUUUCCAAGCUAACACCCGAACCCCAAGAAGACCUACCGUCUUUUUGGUGCAUCUUCCUCUUCCAAAUGACAAUGGAAGCCUCAAUCCUAUUCUUAAGGUCAAGAACUUUGUGUUCCGUCGACAAGUCCAUAGUCAAAAGGAAUUGUGAUGGAUCAAAGUGGUCCACUGUAAUGCCCUUAUAGAUCAAAUCACCGAGGCUCGCUCUUCCAUUCUACAUGAUGGAGAAGAUCAAUAAAGGUAACUAAAAAAAUGAUUAAAAGAAGUUAGUAAAAGUACCAUGGAGGCUCCUGUACUAAGAGUCAAAUUGCAUUUUAGCCCUUCUACUAAAAAAAAAGUUGAAUUAGUCCUUGUAUGUUAGUUCAAAGAGUAAAUUGGUCUUUUCUGUUAAAAAUUUCAUCCAUUUAUACUUUUAAAAAUUGGCAUGGCUGACAGAAUAAUAAAAAAUAGAGGGAAUUUUUAAUAGAAUGACCAAGGACUAAUUUGCCCAUUUUUUCAGUAGAGGGGGAAAAAUGCAAUCCGACUCCUUUACAAGAGCCUCCAUGGUACUUUUACCAAAGAAGUCUUAUUUCUUUACCCUGGGGAGUGAAUCAAUGUAACUUUCAGGUAUCUCUAUUUCAGAUAGUACUUCAGCAUUGAUAGCCAUAGCUGCUUUUAGCACCUGGUUUACUGACUCCUUUUGACACUGCAGCCAUCUCCGUGACAUUUCCGAUAACCCGUUUACAGGUACUUUAACAGUUGGAUGCCACCAUUUAUCGUCCCUUUGACCGUUUUCAUUCUCUUGGUCAUCAUCUUUAGAGACAUACCAAAAUUCUUUUUCUUGUCCAAAGCCAUCAAGAGUCUCCUGUUUUUUAAUUAUAAAUUUUGAUCAAAUAUUUGUUUAUCAUAUGAUCUUUAUCACUAAAAGUUUCAUGGAGGCUCCUUCAAAUUGCAUUUUACCCUCUCUAUUCAAAAAAUAAGCAAAUUAGUCUUUGUACGUUGGAUAAAAGAGCAAAUUGAUUAUUUCUGUUAGAAAUUUCAUCCAUUUGUCAUGUUGAAAAUUGGCAUGGCUAACAAAAUAACUAGAUAGUAUCACUUGGCAUGCCAUGUGUACGUCAUGCUAAUGUAUAGGAACUAGUUUUUAACAUUACAAACUGAUGAAAUUUUUAACAUAAAAGACUAGUUUGUUCUUUAAUCUAUCGUAUAGAGAUUGAUUGACUCAUUUUUUUUCAGUAGAAAGGGUAAAAUAUGAUCUGACUUAUAGUACAUGGGCCUCCAUGAUACUUUUAGCGAUUUUUAUCAAGUUAACUAGAAGGAUAAAGUUACUCACGAUAAGCAUCGUGUCGAGUUUUCUUAGACCAGGUAUGUUCACAAGCAGAUCACUCCUUUGUCUCGUGACCAUAAUCUAUCCAAAUUCGAAACAAGUUGUUGUGAGUUCAUAUAGUGAAAUGGUAGCACUAGUUCGAAGAUUUGUGAGUUAUAUGUUACCUCCAUGUUCGUUCCGUUCUUCGUUUUCUGUUGCGAAGGAACGAAUUCGACAAUGUGAUCGGUUACAGAUAGAAGCCAAUCCAUUUCUUUUCUCCACCUUGCUUUGGUUUCUGGUGCCAUAGGUCCUAAUUUCACUUGUUCCCCAAAAACAGAUGCUGCAAUUAUCAUUUACCAAUAUGUUCAAAUUAUCAACAUUUUUCAUCAUGGAAAUGAAAAAUGAAAGCUAGAAGAUCGAUGGGAUUCGACCCUGAAAUUGCCGGAUUUUGUUUCCUAUGAGUGGUUACAUGAACUAACUAAGCUAAACUUUGAGGUUUUUAUUAUGCAUUUGAUAAUUAGAUUUUGGCAUAAUGUCAGAUCUGAUCCUUAUUCAUUUUUUAACUAAAUUUGGUUCUCAAUUUUUUAAAAAGAGUCAAUUUGAUCUUUAAUCUUUUAAAAAAAGAGUCGAGUUGAUGUUUUUAAUGGAAACUCUGACUAAUAUGGCAUCCAUAUCACAACUCAUGUGUACUUCAUGCUUCUUUUUUUAAUAUUGAAUUUUUUUUUCAAUUUUUGAAUAUUUUUAUAAUUUUAAAAUUAUUUGUUGACGUGGCAUAUAAGAUGAAUAAUGCCAUGUUAGUGUGAAAUACAUGUAAACUAACAUAUAAGAAAAGCAAUUUGAUCCUUUUUGAAAGUUUUAGAGUCAAAUUUAGCUCUAAAAAAAUAAAGAAAUAAGUUUAUCAUUAUACCGUAAAUUUUAGACAAGAAAUGUUCUACCUGCUAGGUUUGUCACUGCAUUUGACAAAGCCAAAGCCGAAGGAACACCUUUGCCUCCUCCUGACAUAUCUUCUCCCAGAAGCAACUUAGAAAACCUUUCCUUCAUCUGCUCCAUAUCUGUAUCAAUAUAUACAUGCAUAUAUAUAUAUAUUAGAAGGAAAUAAUUAGCUUUCUUGUUCAUAGAUUGUAAAGCAAAAAUUAGGAAAAUGAGAUUAGUGGUUAGCUUGGCAGAGUAGAAAAAAGGGAAGAAAUGGAUAUAGGAUGGUGAAAAACCAAAAAAGAACAUUAAUGUUUGAGUGUCUUAGGUAGGGAAGAAAAUUCCGGCUCACUUAACUGCAUUACAAAGAUUAGCUUUGUCUUCAUUAGCUUUCUUGUUCAUAGAUAGUAAAGCAAAAAUACGAAAACGAGUUAGUGGUUUGCUUGGCAGAGUGAAAAAAAAAAACAGAAGAAUGAAUAAAAGAAGGUGAAAAACUGAAAAAGAAUAUGAAUGUUUGAGCGUGUUUGGUAGGAAAAAGAAUUCUUGUUCACUUAGCUGCAUUACAAAAGAUUAGCAUCAUCUUCGUUAGCUUUCUUGUUCAUAGAUUGUAAAGCAAAAAUACGGAAACAAGAUUAGUGGUUUGCUUAGCAGAGUGAAAAAUCUGGAAGAAAUGGAAUUAGGGGUGGUGAAAAACUGAAAAAGAAUAUGGAUGUUUGAGCGUGUUUGGUAGGAAAGAAAAUUCUCGCACCUGUUUGUGGCCUCUCCUGGGGAGUUUCUACCACAGGCUCUCCUAUAUUUUGCUGCCCCAUUGAUUUAUCUUCACUUGGUUGCAGAUUAUCAUCGACAUCAUCCACGUGCUCGUUAUUACCGCCUGCCGCGGUUGCGUUUUGUUGCUGGUGGUGGUGAUGUCUCAUUGGAUUAUCAAACAGGCGAAAAGAUCCUACAUUUCGAGUACUAUACAGGCGAGUCAAUGUUUGAACCAUCAUUCAAUUCCUGUGUUUCUUCUUCUCGUUUUUAAACAGCAAAAAAAUUGAAGAAGAAACAAAGUUGAAAAACAAUUAUAAAAAACAAAACAAAAAACAAAACAGUCUGUUUUUAAUGAGUGAAAAUGAGAGGCUAGCAAGGAUUUUUAUUUGAAUUUUUCAGUCCUGAAAAGAGAUAAAGCUCUUUUGAGUGGUUAAUCUUGUUUGCUGUUUUUGCAGGCAAAGUAUCAACGGUGAAUGUUUUUGGAACACAAAUUUGAGGUUCAGCUGACAAAGAAACUAUAAACCACAAAGACUAAAAAUGGUUGUUUGUUUAAGGUAGGAAAAUCAUUGCCAAAUUUUCCGGGAAAAUCAUUCAAUGGUUAACUGAUUUUAACUAAAUUCUCUGUUUCUUUUUAUGUCUGCUGCUGCCCUUCCUGUUUUCUCUCUUACAGAACCUACCCAUUGUAGUUAAGUUUUGUUCAGUUUAACUGUUACAGUUCUUUAGUUGGAGUAGAGUUGAUAAUGGGACGGGUUGAGGUCUGGUUUCAAAAAAGUUGAUAAAAUAAUG
RNAcentral lists this long non-coding RNA (4501 nucleotides) under Gossypium barbadense (sea-island cotton). Its description in RNAcentral is "long non-coding RNA (GBAR_LNC005844)". The stretch from base 1781 to 1925 matches the Rfam family "MIR7502 microRNA precursor family". Lineage: Eukaryota; Viridiplantae; Streptophyta; Magnoliopsida; Malvales; Malvaceae. The record is from RNAcentral.